RNAcentral lists this ribosomal RNA (488 nucleotides) under uncultured bacterium. RNAcentral describes it as "partial 16S ribosomal RNA". It matches the Rfam family "Bacterial small subunit ribosomal RNA", at positions 28 to 507 of the family's 1533-position model. The record is from RNAcentral.
GACGAACGCUGGCGGCGUGCUUAACACAUGCAAGUCGAACGGAAAGGCCCUGCUUUUGUGGGGUGCUCGAGUGCCGAACGGGUGAGUAACACGUGAGUAACCUGCCCUUGUCUUUCGGAUAACAUCAGGAAACUGGGGCUAAUAUCGGAUAGGAUCUCCUGCAGCAUGGUGGGGGUUGGAAAGUUUCGGCGGUUGGGGAUGGACUCGGGGCUUAUCAGCUGGUUGGUGGGGUAGUGGCCUACCAAGGCUUUGACGGGUACCCCGCCUGAGAGGGGGAUCGGCGACAUGGGAGGUGAGACGCCGUCCAGGCUCCUGAGGGAGGCACCAGACUGGAAUGGUAGGCAGCGGGCGAGAGUAUUACAGAACAACCGCGAGUCAGUGGCGAAGGCGCUCGGUGCGGAAUGCCCUCUUUUUGGGUAAGAACCGCUGUCGCCUGAGACGAAGCGUGAGUGACGGUAAUGGAUAAAGAAGCACCGGCUAACUACGUG